RNAcentral lists this ribosomal RNA (301 nucleotides) under uncultured bacterium. RNAcentral describes it as "partial 16S ribosomal RNA". It matches the Rfam family "Bacterial small subunit ribosomal RNA", at positions 509 to 807 of the family's 1533-position model. The record is from RNAcentral.
CAGUAGCCGCGGUAAUACAGAGGGUGCGAGCGUUAAUCGGAUUUACUGGGCGUAAAGCGUGCGCAGGCGGUGAUGUAAGACAGUUGUGAAAUCCCCGGGCUCAACCUGGGAACUGCAUCUGUGACUGCAUCGCUGGAGUGCGGCAGAGGGGGAUGGAAUUCCGCGUGUAGCAGUGAAAUGCGUAGAUAUGCGGAGGAACACCGAUGGCGAAGGCAAUCCCCUGGGCCUGCACUGACGCUCAUGCACGAAAGCGUGGGGAGCAAACAGGAUUAGAUACCCGCGUAGUCCCUGUCUCUUAUAC